GGAGUUAGCCGGUGCUUCUUCUGUGAGUGAUGUCCUUCCUGCCGGCUAUUAACCCGCAGGCCUUCUUCCUCACUGAAAGUGCUUUACAACCCGAAGGCCUUCUUCACACACGCGGCAUGGCUGGAUCAGGGUUGCCCCCAUUGUCCAAUAUUCCCCACUGCUGCCUCCCGUAGGAGUCUGGGCCGUGUCUCAGUCCCAGUGUGGCUGAUCAUCCUCUCAGACCAGCUACGGAUCGUCGCCUUGGUGAGCCGUUACCUCACCAACCAGCUAAUCCGACAUAGGCUCAUCCGAUAGCGCGAGGCCCGAAGGUCCCCCGCUUUCCCCCGUAGGGCGUAUGCGGUAUUAGCCUGGGUUUCCCCAGGUUAUCCCCCACUACCGGGCAGAUUCCUAUGCAUUACUCACCCGUCCGCCGCUCGCCACCAGGGAGCAAGCUCCCCGUGCUGCCGCUCGACUUGCAUGUGUUAGCGUCGCCGCCACGCGUUCACUCUGAGCCGACGAAUACAACUACUCGA
This 512-nucleotide ribosomal RNA is filed under the name uncultured bacterium. RNAcentral's name for it is "partial 16S ribosomal RNA". The record is from RNAcentral.